AUGUCAUUGUGUUCCCUGGGACAGCUUCAAGGACGGGGGAAGAAUCGGGCAGCGGGCCUUCUCCACCUCUCCACUCGAGUCCUGCUUGGCCAGGGCUGGCCUCGGUCCUCUCCUGUCAUCUGGACAACCAGCAUCAACUUUGGCCCCACUGACAUCAUGAAAAUGAACGUGUUAGUCACUCGGUCGUGUCUGACUCUUUGCAACCCUAUGGACGUAGCCCGCCAGCCUCCUCUGUCCUUGGGAUUCUCCAGGCCCCGACACAGACUCUCCCCCGCCUGGUCCCACACAGAGAACACAGCCUUGCAGAUCCAGGCCUGGACAUCUGGACCAGACAGUGACGGGCUCACCUCCAGAUGAUGCCCGGAUAAGUUCCAGCUGUUUCGCUGAGCCUCAUGGACUGUCUUCAUUGUCAUUGUCAUCAGCAAGAUCCAGACAUGACUGCAGGCUCCUCAAUAAACACCUUCCCAGUCGGCCAGAUCGGAUUUGAAGACGCGCUCUGGGAAAAGGCUGCUGACAGGAGCCCCCGGCCAGAAUCCUCUAGUAAUGCCAGAUUCCCUUGUGAUUACUUCCUGAUUUUGUUUAAUGAAUGAAAUUAGACACGGUGUGGAAUUUCCUAAAUCACAAACACAUUUAUUCGGGGGACAGUGAUAGAAGUGUGUGUGUGAGGUGUGAGGCCCGUGUGCUCAGAACAGGGCGCGUGAAUCUGGUCACGCAUUUGACUUUGUCACCCUGGGGUCAGCGGCCCCGCACGUGACAUGCAGGUUGGAGGGAAGUUGCCUACAAAUGAGAAGAAUGUUGCUUCUGUUUUCAGCCUGUCCUCCGACUCCCUUGGAGCGGCCGCAUCAGAGCCGGAUGGGGGUUUCUCAUCUUCCUCCAGGCGAGUCCCGCAGCCUUGGGGUCUGCUCUUGUUCCAUCUCCCGCCUGCGGGCUGGACAACUGCAGACUAAGCUGUGGGCACCCCAGAGCCAGGGCGCCAGCUCUGCCACAGGCUGCCUGCCUGGCAGCGGGGAAGCCGUGGGACCUCUUUCAAUCUCAAGGUUUUAAGGGCAUGAUGGAACUUCCCUGGUGUCCAGUGGCUAAGACUCUGAGCUCCAAAUUCAGGGGGCCUGGGUUGAUCCCUGAUCAGGGACCUAGAUCUCACAGGCCCUGCUGCUAAGAGUUUGCAUCCCAUAACUAGGGUCCGGCACAGCCAAAUAAAUAAGUUAAUUAA
This 1210-nucleotide long non-coding RNA is filed under the name Bos grunniens (domestic yak). Its description in RNAcentral is "lncRNA (ENSBGRG00000013068.1)". Lineage: Eukaryota; Metazoa; Chordata; Mammalia; Artiodactyla; Bovidae. The record is from RNAcentral.